RNAcentral lists this ribosomal RNA (301 nucleotides) under uncultured bacterium. Its description in RNAcentral is "partial 16S ribosomal RNA". It matches the Rfam family "Bacterial small subunit ribosomal RNA", at positions 509 to 808 of the family's 1533-position model. The record is from RNAcentral.
CAGCAGCCACGUAAUACGAAGGGGGCUAGCGUUGUUCGGAAUUACUGGGCGUAAAGCGCACGUAGGCGGACAUUUAAGUCAGGGGUGAAAUCCCGGGGCUCAACCCCGGAACUGCCUUUGAUACUGGGUGUCUAGAGUAUGGAAGAGGUGAGUGGAAUUCCGAGUGUAGAGGUGAAAUUCGUAGAUAUUCGGAGGAACACCAGUGGCGAAGGCGGCUCACUGGUCCAUUACUGACGCUGAGGUGCGAAAGCGUGGGGAGCAAACAGGAUUAGAUACCCCCGUAGUCCCUGUCUCUUAUACC